AGGGUGGACGGUUCACACUGGGACUGAGACACGGCCCAGACUCCUACGGGAGGCAGCAGUGGGGAAUAUUGCACAAUGGGCGCAAGCCUGAUGCAGCGACGCCGCGUGAGGGAUGGAGGCCUUCGGGUUGUAAACCUCUUUCGCCAGUGAAGCAGGCCUGUCCCUUGUGGGUGGGUUGACGGUAGCUGGAUAAGAAGCGCCGGCUAACUACGUGCCAGCAGCCGCGGUAAUACGUAGGGCGCGAGCGUUGUCCGGAAUUAUUGGGCGUAAAGAGCUCGUAGGCGGCUGGUCGCGUCUGUCGUGAAAUCCUCUGGCUUAACUGGGGGCUUGCGGUGGGUACGGGCCGGCUUGAGUGCGGUAGGGGAGACUGGAACUCCUGGUGUAGCGGUGGAAUGCGCAGAUAUCAGGAAGAACACCGGUGGCGAAGGCGGGUCUCUGGGCCGUUACUGACGCUGAGGAGCGAAAGCGUGGGGAGCGAACAGGAUUAGAUACCCUGGUAGUCCACGCCGUAAACGUUGGGCACUAAGUGUGGGGGGCCCUUUUCCGGGUUUUUCGCGCCGUAGCUAACGCAAUAAGUGCCCCGCCUGGGGAGUACGGCCGCAAGGCUAAAACUCAAAGGAAUUGACGGGGGCCCGCACAAGCGGCGGAGCAUGCGGAUUAAUUCGAUGCAACGCGAAGAACCUUACCAAGGCUUGACAUGUGCCGGUCGGCUCCGGAGACGGGGUUUCCUCCUUGUGGGGCCGGUUCACAGGUGGUGCAUGGUUGUCGUCAGCUCGUGUCGUGAGAUGUUGGGUUAAGUCCCGCAACGAGCGCAACCCUUGUCCCGUGUUGCCAGCACGUUGUGGUGGGGACUCGCGGGAGACUGCCGGGGUCAACUCGGAGGAAGGUGGGGAUGACGUCAAAUCAUCAUGCCCCUUAUGUCUUGGGCUUCACGCAUGCUACAAUGGCCGGUACAGAGGGCUGCGAUACCGUGAGGUGGAGCGAAUCCCUUAAAGCCGGUCUCAGUUCGGAUCGGUGUCUGCAACUCGACACCGUGAAGUUGGAGUCGCUAGUAAUCGCAGAUCAGCAACGCUGCGGUGAAUACGUUCUCGGGCCUUGCACUCACCGCCCGUCA
Molecule: ribosomal RNA, 1114 nt
Filed under: uncultured bacterium
Lineage: Bacteria
Description: bacterial SSU rRNA
Rfam family: Bacterial small subunit ribosomal RNA
Source: RNAcentral